GGCCGGACCGGCGAGGCGGCGCGUGGGCUGUGUGAGGCGCGGCGGAGGGCGCGGCGGAGCCUUCUGGUGGCGUUCGGCGCGCCGGCCGGCCUC
RNAcentral lists this transfer RNA (93 nucleotides) under Nonomuraea sp. TT08I-71. Its description in RNAcentral is "tRNA-Leu". The record is from RNAcentral. Lineage: Bacteria; Bacillati; Actinomycetota; Actinomycetes; Streptosporangiales; Streptosporangiaceae.